GAAAUGCGAUAAGUAGUGUGAAUUGCAGAAUUCCGUGAAUCAUCGAAUCUUUGAACGCACAUUGCGCCCGCUGGCAUUCCGGGGGGCAUGCCUGUCCGAGCGUCAUUACGCACCCUCAAGCCCGGCUUGUGUGAUGGGCCCUGGCGUCUCGUUCGCGAGACGGGCCCGAAAGGCAGCGGCGGCGUCGACCCGAUGAGCCCGAGCGUAUGGGGACUUUUGUCACACGUUUGCGGUGCGGACCGGCGCCUGCUUGACUUUUCUGAUUAUCCAGGUUGACCUCGGAUCAGGUAGGGAUACCCGCUGAACUUAAGC
RNAcentral lists this unclassified non-coding RNA (312 nucleotides) under plant metagenome. RNAcentral's name for it is "partial contains 5.8S ribosomal RNA, internal transcribed spacer 2, and large subunit ribosomal RNA". The stretch from base 1 to 105 matches the Rfam family "5.8S ribosomal RNA", at positions 50 to 154 of the family's 154-position model. The record is from RNAcentral.